Molecule: long non-coding RNA, 308 nt
Filed under: Brassica napus (rape)
Lineage: Eukaryota; Viridiplantae; Streptophyta; Magnoliopsida; Brassicales; Brassicaceae
Description: long non-coding RNA (BNAP_LNC000526)
Source: RNAcentral
UGAGAUAAGACAUUCUGGUAAAAAUCAAACUAAACAGUAAACAUUCUAAGACAUUUUUCUUUAGGUGAAGAUUGUUUUGAAACCAUUUUUCAUCCAAUCAAGUUUUAGCUUUUAGUUUUUAUUUUUGUAAACCAAUCAAGUUUUUUAACAAAUAGAUUCCCUAAAAUUUAGAGAAACUAAAUUUUCAAAAGUUUAACAAGCCAAAAACCAACUUUUGUGGGUUUUCAAUAUAAAAAUGAAUUUUGGUUUAUUUUUUAUAAAAUACCGUAUUUUAAUUAAUUAAAAAAUAAAUAAAUAAUAUGUUCAUA